RNAcentral lists this ribosomal RNA (253 nucleotides) under uncultured bacterium. RNAcentral's name for it is "partial 16S ribosomal RNA". It matches the Rfam family "Bacterial small subunit ribosomal RNA", at positions 524 to 776 of the family's 1533-position model. The record is from RNAcentral.
UACGUAGGGCGCAAGCGUUAUCCGGAAUUAUUGGGCGUAAAGAGCUCGUAGGCGGUUUGUUGCGUCGGCUGUGAAAACCCGGGGCUCAACUCCGGGCCUGCAGCCGAUACGGGCAGACUAGAGUUCGGCAGGGGAGACUGGAAUUCCUGGUGUAGCGGUGAAAUGCGCAGAUAUCAGGAGGAACACCGGUGGCGAAGGCGGCUCUCUGGGACGGUACUGACGCUGAGACGCGAAAGCGUGGGGAGCGAACAGG